RNAcentral lists this long non-coding RNA (258 nucleotides) under Mytilus galloprovincialis (Mediterranean mussel). The record is from RNAcentral. Lineage: Eukaryota; Metazoa; Mollusca; Bivalvia; Mytilida; Mytilidae.
AAUUUACCUCUUCAGUCGUGUACCUAAAUUUUCGAUAUUAGUUUUAAAAUAUCAUUGGUUUUCUGUGCUGUGAUAAAAGAGGGGCGAAAGAUACCAGAGGGACAGUCAAGCUCAUAAAUCGAAAAUAAACUGACAACGCCAUGGCUAAAAAUGAAAAGGACAUACAGACAAACAAUAGUACACACGACACAACAUAGAAAACUAAAAACAACACGAACCUCACCAAAAACUAUGGGUGAUCUAUGUUGUUAGAAAAUC